RNAcentral lists this long non-coding RNA (1284 nucleotides) under Lepisosteus oculatus (spotted gar). RNAcentral's name for it is "lncRNA (ENSLOCG00000021262.1)". Lineage: Eukaryota; Metazoa; Chordata; Actinopteri; Semionotiformes; Lepisosteidae. The record is from RNAcentral.
UGGGAGAAAUGGUGCAGGUCCUGGUGGAGGUGGAAAUGGGGGUGGAGGAAGUGGAGGUGGCGGAUUUGGAGGUGCUGGGGGUGGAUACGGGCCUGUAGAUUCCCCAGUUUUCAUCUUCCCCAUCGCUGAUGAUUUAGCUGGACAAGGUCCUUAUCCCCCUUCUCCUCCAGCUGAUCCCUCCAGUCCUACUAUCUUCAUUAUCCCUGAUGGUAAAGGACAACCAGUAAAUGGUGGAUAUGAUGUUAUCCCCAUCGGCUUCCAGAAAGCUCCCAAAUCUACCAGCAGUGACAGGAGAGGAAGUGUGGGACAGUCAUCUUCCUACAGACCCAACAUGCAAAGGUCCAGUCAGGGAAGCAGAUCACCCAGAAGCACAAUAGUGCAAAAGGGAUAAGUAAAGUGAUAAAAGACCAUUGAGAGAGCCACAGGAAAGUGAUUUUCAACAUAUUCAUGUACUCACCUACUUUAACACCAACUCAUAAUAAUGUGACUUCAGCAAUAAACACAGAGCUAUGCAUGUUUCUUCUAUAUUUUGUUAAUGAAUAAUCAAAAGUAUUGAUAAAGAAGACACUAAUUGUAUUUCCACAUCACCAAAAGUAAUGUUUUUAUCUUUGCUACUCUUGAAAACGUCUAUGCAUAUAUUCCAUUUUAUUCCUAAAAUUUAAAAUCACCUUAUUAAAUGUAAUUACCUCACUAUUAAAAACAUAGAGUAUGUUGAAUACAGAAAAUGCAGAAAUGUGAACUUUUCGGAUAAUAUAAUAAUUCUCAAGGAACUCAGGCUUAAACCAAAUUGUCUUGCAAUGAAAUUAUUUGCUGUUUCAUAGCUGGAACUCUGUGCCUUUGUGUUUCUUUGGACACCACUCUGUGUAAAAGACAUUUAUUUGUUAAUGUAUUUGCUAACAAAGUCUUCUGAAGUGUUAAAAAUAAAAUGUAAAUAACAAUAUUCCCCCAGUUAUUUGCCUUUGUGUUGGAGCUGAUCCAGUUAGGUAGAAUUUAUUCCUCAUACAGAGUAUGUGUUAAAUAUACCAGACUUUACAUUAUACAUUUUCAUAUUGUAGUAAAUGAAGGCUUAACUAUGAAAAAAUAUAUUUUAAGUUAACAGACUUUCACUAUCAUAAAUGUCAACACAUCAGCAAUGACGUCAAGUAUAAAUAUGUAGAAAAAAAAAACAUUGGUGCUGUUUUAUCUAAAGAAUCUAAUUUUCAUUUAACUAAAAGACCAGUUUAUUAAAAGAUCUCAAGUUGAAGUAGAAAGAAAUUAUAAAUAUUAUUGAAUACAAUACUAAAU